Long non-coding RNA from Hyalella azteca, 201 nucleotides. RefSeq lists it as uncharacterized. The transcript has 3 exons. NCBI's taxonomy places the organism in Eukaryota, Metazoa, Arthropoda, Malacostraca, Amphipoda, Hyalellidae. The record is from RefSeq and is a predicted model, not a curated record.
ACCGUCCACUACGCUGCAGCGUCGGUGCCAGACGUAGGCGAGGAGGAGGAGCGUGUGCUGCGGCAGCGCGUGCUGCUCUUCGCUGAGAAGUACGACAACUUUGCCGCCCGUAACCUCGCCCCUCUACUGGCCCGAGAGGAGAGCUGCAGCUUCCUGGGGCGGGAAGGGUGGGGCGGCCACGUGCUGCUGGGGGGGCACCGU